RNAcentral lists this ribosomal RNA (497 nucleotides) under uncultured bacterium. RNAcentral's name for it is "partial 16S ribosomal RNA". It matches the Rfam family "Bacterial small subunit ribosomal RNA", at positions 28 to 507 of the family's 1533-position model. The record is from RNAcentral.
GAUGAACGCUGGCGGCGUGCCUAAUACAUGCAAGUCGAGCGAACGGACGAGAAGCUUGCUUCUCUGAUGUUAGCGGCGGACGGGUGAGUAACACGUGGAUAACCUACCUAUCAGACUGGGAUAACUUCGGGAAACCGGAGCUAAUACCGUAUGAUAUUUUGAACCGCAUGGUUCAAAAGUGAAAGACGGUCUUGCUGUCACUUCUAGAUGGAUCCGCGCUGCAUUAGCUAGUUGGUAAGGUAACGGCUUACCAAGGCAACGAUGCAUAGCCGACCUGAGAGGGUGAUAGGCCACACUGGAACUGAGACACGGUCCAGACUCCUACGGGAGGCAGCAGUAGGGAAUCGUACGCAAUGGGCGAAAGCCUGACGGAGCAACGCCGCGUGAGUGAUGAAGGUCUUCGGAUCGUAAAAAUCUGUUAUGAGGGAAGAACAUAUGUGGAAGUAACUGUGCACAUCUUGACGGUACCUAAUCAGAAAGCCACGGCUAACUACGUG